This 530-nucleotide ribosomal RNA is filed under the name Hydractinia polyclina. RNAcentral describes it as "partial 16S ribosomal RNA". It matches the Rfam family "Bacterial large subunit ribosomal RNA", at positions 1858 to 2560 of the family's 2925-position model. The record is from RNAcentral. Lineage: Eukaryota; Metazoa; Cnidaria; Hydrozoa; Anthoathecata; Hydractiniidae.
CCUGCCCAAUGAUCUUAAACUUAAAAAAUAUAACUAUUUUUAAAAAGAUUUAAAGGACGCAGUAUCCUGACUGUGAUAAUGUAGCAUAAUCAUUCGCCAUUUAAUUGAUGGAUAGUAUGAAUGGUUGAACGAAUUCUUCACUGUCUUAAAAAAAGAAAUAAUGAAAUUUAAAUAAUAGUAAAGAUGCUAUUUAAAAUUGUAAGACGAAAAGACCCUAUAGAGCUUAACUAUAAGUUCUUUUAGUUAAAAGAACAUAAUUCUCAAAAUAAAGAACUUGGUAGUUUAGUUGGGGCGACUAUCUUCUAAUAUUAACGAAGACAAGCAAAAUUAAUAUAUAAUUUACUGUAUAACCUAUAAGUUUAACAAUUACAAAAGUAGGCAUAAUGACCCGUUUUCAUUUAGUAAUUAAAGAAAACGAUCAAUAAAUAAAAGCUACCUUAGGGAUAACAGGAUAAUUUUGUUUUAGAGAUCCUAUCGAAAACAAAGUUUGUCACCUCUAUGUUGAAUUAAGAUAUCCUAGUAAUGCAGAA